This 231-nucleotide ribosomal RNA is filed under the name uncultured bacterium. RNAcentral describes it as "partial 16S ribosomal RNA". It matches the Rfam family "Bacterial small subunit ribosomal RNA", at positions 104 to 334 of the family's 1533-position model. The record is from RNAcentral.
CGGGGUGGAGUAAUGUCUGGGAAACUAGCCUGAUGAGGGGGGAUAACUGCUGGAAACGGUAGCUAAUACCGCAUAACGUCGCAAGACCAAAGAGGGGGACCUUCGGGCCUCUUGCCAUCGGAUGUGCCCAGAUGGGAUUAGCUAGUAGGUGGGGUAACGGCUCACCUAGGCGACGAUCCCUAGCUGGUCUGAGAGGAUGGCCAGCCACACUGGAACUGAGACACGGUCCAG